This 464-nucleotide ribosomal RNA is filed under the name uncultured bacterium. RNAcentral's name for it is "bacterial SSU rRNA". It matches the Rfam family "Bacterial small subunit ribosomal RNA", at positions 24 to 518 of the family's 1533-position model. The record is from RNAcentral.
UCAGAACGAACGCUGGCGGCAGGUCUUAGGCAUGCAAGUCGAACGGAUGACAAGGGAGCUUGCUCCUUGAAGUCAGUGGCGCACGAGUGAGUAACGCGUGGGAAACUGCCCUUCACUGGGGAAUAACGUUUGGAAACGAACGCUAAUACCGCAUACGCCCGCAAGGGGAAAGAUUUAUCGGUGAUGGAUGUGCCCGCGUUGGAUUAGCUAGUUGGUGGGGUAAUGGCCUACCAAGGCGAUGAUCCAUAGCUGGUCUGAGAGGACGAUCAGCCACGCUGGAACUGAGACACGGUCCAGACUCCUACGGGAGGCAGCAGCUAAGAAUAUUGGGCAAUGGAGGAAACUCUGACCCAGCCAUUGCCGCGUGAAUGAAGAAGGCCUUCGGGUUGUAAAGUUCUUUUAGUCAUGAAGAUGAUGACAGUAGUGACAGAAAAAGCACCGGCUAACUUCGUGCCAGCAGCAGC